RNAcentral lists this ribosomal RNA (750 nucleotides) under marine alpha proteobacterium N67. Its description in RNAcentral is "bacterial SSU rRNA". It matches the Rfam family "Bacterial small subunit ribosomal RNA", at positions 34 to 828 of the family's 1533-position model. The record is from RNAcentral. Lineage: Bacteria; Pseudomonadati; Pseudomonadota; Alphaproteobacteria.
CGCUGGCGGCAGGCCUAACACAUGCAAGUCGAGCGCUACCUUCGGGUGGAGCGGCGGACGGGUUAGUAACGCGUGGGAACGUACCCAGAUCUAAGGAAUAGCCACUGGAAACGGUGAGUAAUACCUUAUACGCCCUUCGGGGGAAAGAUUUAUCGGAUUUGGAUCGGCCCGCGUUAGAUUAGAUAGUUGGUGGGGUAAUGGCCUACCAAGUCUACGAUCUAUAGCUGGUUUUAGAGGAUGAUCAGCAACACUGGGACUGAGACACGGCCCAGACUCCUACGGGAGGCAGCAGUGGGGAAUCUUGGACAAUGGGCGCAAGCCUGAUCCAGCCAUGCCGCGUGAGUGAUGAAGGCCUUAGGGUCGUAAAGCUCUUUCGCCAGAGAUGAUAAUGACAGUAUCUGGUAAAGAAACCCCGGCUAACUCCGUGCCAGCAGCCGCGGUAAUACGGAGGGGGUUAGCGUUGUUCGGAAUUACUGGGCGUAAAGCGUACGUAGGCGGAUUAGUCAGUCAGAGGUGAAAUCCCAGGGCUCAACCCUGGAACUGCCUUUGAUACUGCUAGUCUUGAGUUCGAGAGAGGUGAGUGGAAUUCCAAGUGUAGAGGUGAAAUUCGUAGAUAUUUGGAGGAACACCAGUGGCGAAGGCGGCUCACUGGCUCGAUACUGACGCUGAGGUACCGAAAGUGUGGGGAGCAAACAGGAUUAGAUACCCUGGUAGUCCACACCGUAAACCNAUGAAUGCCAGUCGUCGGGC